RNAcentral lists this ribosomal RNA (255 nucleotides) under Bacillus halotolerans. RNAcentral's name for it is "partial 16S ribosomal RNA". It matches the Rfam family "Bacterial small subunit ribosomal RNA", at positions 1126 to 1380 of the family's 1533-position model. The record is from RNAcentral. Lineage: Bacteria; Bacillati; Bacillota; Bacilli; Caryophanales; Bacillaceae.
UUCAGUUGGGCACUCUAAGGUGACUGCCGGUGACAAACCGGAGGAAGGUGGGGAUGACGUCAAAUCAUCAUGCCCCUUAUGACCUGGGCUACACACGUGCUACAAUGGACAGAACAAAGGGCAGCGAGACCGCGAGGUUAAGCCAAUCCCACAAAUCUGUUCUCAGUUCGGAUCGCAGUCUGCAACUCGACUGCGUGAAGCUGGAAUCGCUAGUAAUCGCGGAUCAGCAUGCCGCGGUGAAUACGUUCCCGGGCC